GCCCAAAAACUUAUAUACUUUACUUUUAACCUAAAGAAAAUCUUUAAACACAACAGUAUUAUUACAAAAACUUUUUCCUCAAAAAACCGCAAGGGUCACCAACUCCGCUAACCCUAGAAAAGAUAAUUACUCAUCCCUUUUGCAUCAUGGAGAAGCAACAAAAACGCAAAGAUCCUGCACUCCCGAAUAAUUAUGAGCUACUAAAUCCUAAAACUUAAUGUUUCACAAUUAAUCAACUAGCCUUUAGUAGAAGUAACAAGCCUUCCAUAUAAUUUGAUAGCUGGUUUUCCACAAAAAGUAUCUUAGUACUGCCCUAUAAUAAAAUUCACCAUUCUGAACCAUUUAUAGGUGUCAACCUUUUAAGGAUUAGCUCAAAAGGUAUAAUAAGAAAUAACUCAUACCCCCACCUUUUAAGUAGGCUUAAAAGCAGCCACCAAAUAGCGUUCUAGCUAACAUCCACCCGCCAUAAUAUAAAAUCUUAAUUCUAACUUAAAGUGGAAUCUAGUGCUAAACCCACCCACUAACAAACAGGCAUUCUAUUAGUAUUUACAAAACCCCUAUUAAAAACCUAAAUAAAAUUAAUCCAUAAACAACCAUACUCUAAACACAUAUAAAGCGAACUCGGCAAUAAAAUUCCCUGCCUGUUUACCAAAAACAUCGUCUUUUGAAACACCCACAUAAAAGAUAAUGCCUGCCCAGUGAAAAUUUUAAACGGCCGCGUUAGCGUGAGCGUGCUAAGGUAGCGUAAUAAAUAGCCUUUUAAUUGGAGGCCAGUGAAUGGCAAGACUAGGAAUACCUGUACCCUUUAUGGAAAAAAAACUUUUCAUCUGAGUGAAAAGACUCAGAUAACAAAGGAAGACGAAAAGACCCCGCGGAACUUUACCUUUUCCAGCCUUAGCUGCCCACAAACACAAAAGACAAAAGGUUUGAUUGGGGCAAUCUCGGAACAAACCAAGCUUCCGAUCUCCCUUAAAUAAACAUCCAUAACACGAUAAGGACAAAAAAGAAGUUACCCCGGGGAUAACAGCGUAAUCCAGCUCAAGAGUACACAUCCACAUUAGUGCAACCGCUAUGAUAGGAUAGUCUGUUCGACUAUUAUACCCUUACACGAGCUGAGUUAAGACCGGCGCAAGCUAGGUUGGUUUCUAUCUCCUAUGUAUCAAUAAUCUUCCUGAUUGUACGAAAGGACCCCAAGAGAUGCACCUAAAUAAUAAGCAUUUACUUAAACACCAAACUCACUAAAAUAGCAAC
This 1251-nucleotide ribosomal RNA is filed under the name Elliptio complanata (eastern elliptio). RNAcentral's name for it is "16S ribosomal RNA". The record is from RNAcentral. Lineage: Eukaryota; Metazoa; Mollusca; Bivalvia; Unionida; Unionidae.